AUGGGUGUUGGCUCGAACAAUUCGCAUUGGUCUCAAACCAAUGACAUGCAUUUUGAAGACCUUGAGUUCGAGGUGGACGAGGAUGGUGAGGGCAUUAUCAACGCACCGAAAGGAAGAGCGGGCAAUUAGACCAACACCGAAGACAUCUUACUAUGCAAUACUUGGUUGCAAGUGUCGAGGGAUACAUCCAUUGGAGGUGAUCAAAGUAGAGAUGCAUAUUGGCUCCGGAUGAAAGAACACUUUGAUCUUCGCAACAUGAGUGAAAUUGACCGCUCCGCACGAUCACUUCGCUUUCAGUGGUCGACCAUCAAUAGGGAUUGUCAACAAUGGUCGGCCGCACAAAAAGCGGUUGACAAGUUGAACCCAAGUGGCACCAAUGAUGAUGAUUGGGUAAGUGUGGUUUCAUCAUUCCUCAUGUUCACAUCAUGCUUGUUGUUGGUGUUUCUUGUGUUAACCUGUUUUGUUUUCAUGUAG
This 474-nucleotide ribosomal RNA is filed under the name Triticum aestivum (bread wheat). RNAcentral describes it as "partial small subunit ribosomal RNA". Lineage: Eukaryota; Viridiplantae; Streptophyta; Magnoliopsida; Poales; Poaceae. The record is from RNAcentral.